This 24-nucleotide microRNA is filed under the name Caenorhabditis remanei. RNAcentral's name for it is "crm-miR-87-5p". Its record names the gene crm-miR-87-5p. The record is from miRBase by way of RNAcentral. Lineage: Eukaryota; Metazoa; Nematoda; Chromadorea; Rhabditida; Rhabditidae.
CGCCUGACACUUUCGUCUCAACCU